Molecule: ribosomal RNA, 477 nt
Filed under: Triticum aestivum (bread wheat)
Lineage: Eukaryota; Viridiplantae; Streptophyta; Magnoliopsida; Poales; Poaceae
Description: partial small subunit ribosomal RNA
Source: RNAcentral
AUGAGCCACCAUGUCCGUAAGAGCUCAAGUGUAGAGCUCGCAUGCCAUCAUCUGGCUCCCUUAAAUGUUCAAGUGUACAGCGACCGCGCCGUCUGCGAGUCCCUCCUCAUCGUCGAGUACAUCGACGAGGCCUUCCACGACGGGGACGAGGGGUCGGCGCCACGGCUCCUCCCGGCGGACCCCUACGACCGCACCACUGCAAGCUUCUGGGCUGACUUCAUCGCCAACAAGUGCUUGAAGCCGCUGUGGCAGGCGAUGUGGACGGACGGGGAGGAGCAGGCACGGCUAGCGAGGGAGACCAAGGAGAGCCUGGGCAUCCUGGACGCGCAGCUGGAGGGGAAGAGGUUCUUCGGGGGCGACGCGCUCGGCUUCGUCGACCUCGCCGCAUGCACGCUGGCUCACUGGCUCGGCGUGCUGGAGGAAGUCGCCGGCGUGCGCCUGAUGAAGGAUGGCGAGUACCCUGCUCUGCGCCGGUGA